ACAACUUUGAAAAUAAAUUCGCCAUUCAGCUCUUCAGGUGGGCUCCUGACCUCUACAAAAUAGACAAAACAAAGGAAAUUUUCUGCCCCAGUUUGCACUAGGAAGAUUUGCGAAUUAUUAGCAAUAUUGUAAACCACUUAUACUAUAUGCAAUGGUGGGAGUAAACCAACGACUAGGCCAGGAUGUGCGUCUCCUAUGAGUAAAACCCGAAACUUUGACAAGCAAAUGCGUUUGCUAAAAAUAAAACCUUAAUGAACCAAACUAGGAGGUGUGUCUCCUACGAGUAAAACUUGGGUGAACCAAAAUCAGGAAGUGUGUCUCCUAGUGGUAAACUCUCAUUUUUAGGAAGUGCGUCUCCUAAAGCAAAAAUAUAACCCGAAAGACCCAGCCUAGGAAGUGCGUCUCCUAGGGGUGAAACUUCAAUGAUUUAACCUAGGAAGUGUGUCUCCUACGAAUGAACUAAAAUGAACCAGACUAGGAAGUGCGUCUCCUAUGCAUGAAAUUAAACCUAGGAAGUGCAUCUCCUAGGGGUAAAAAUAAACUUAGGAAGUGCGUCUCCUAGGAGUAAAACUUUAAUGAUUUUAAACUAGGAAGUGCGUCUCCUAUUAAUGAAAACUUAAUUUAGGAAGUGCGUCUCCUAUGCAUGAAAUUAAACUUAGGAAGUGCGUCUCCUA
This 674-nucleotide long non-coding RNA is filed under the name Nicotiana tabacum (common tobacco). Its description in RNAcentral is "long non-coding RNA (NTAB_LNC016201)". The record is from RNAcentral. Lineage: Eukaryota; Viridiplantae; Streptophyta; Magnoliopsida; Solanales; Solanaceae.